GCUCCUCUCACAUGACUCUGAGGAAAACAGGCAGCGUAGACAAGUAGAACUGAUGACUGAAGUCAUUUAUAUAAUUAAAUACUCAUCAAGCAAUUUCUUCAUCUCCUCCAAACAAGACUCACUCGAGGAGAGGAGAAAGGAUGUAUACCAGGAAGGCACAGGAGAGUCAUUGCAUUCAGGUGACUUAGCUGAAUUGCUCCUUUAACCUUCCUUGUAUUCACCUGAAUUUUCCCCCUUGCCCUACAUGAGUCCUGCAGUGGAAUCUAGAACCUCAGAUGGAUCAACAACUU
Molecule: long non-coding RNA, 290 nt
Organism: Serinus canaria (Common canary)
Lineage: Eukaryota; Metazoa; Chordata; Aves; Passeriformes; Fringillidae
Exons: 3
Source: RefSeq, a predicted model, not a curated record